CAUCCAAGGAAGGCAGCAGGCGCGCAAAUUACCCAAUCCCGAUACGGGGAGGUAGUGACAAUAAAUAUUGAUACGGGGCUCUUUUGGGUCUCGUAAUUGGAAUGAGAACAAUUUAAAUCCCUUAACGAGGAACAAUUGGAGGGCAAGUCUGGUGCCAGCAGCCGCGGUAAUUCCAGCUCCAAUAGCGUAUAUUAAAGUUGUUGCAGUUAAAAAGCUCGUAGUUGAACCUUGGGUCUGGCUGGCCGGUCCGCCUCACCGCGAGUACUGGUCCGGCUGGACCUUUCCUUCUGGGGAACCUCAUGGCCUUCACUGGCUGUGGGGGGAACCAGGACUUUUACUGUGAAAAAAUUAGAGUGUUCAAAGCAGGCCUUUGCUCGAAUACAUUAGCAUGGAAUAAUAGAAUAGGACGUGCGGUUCUAUUUUGUUGGUUUCUAGGACCGCCGUAAUGAUUAAUAGGGAUAGUCGGGGGCGUCAGUAUUCAGCUGUCAGAGGUGAAAUUCUUGGAUUUGCUGAAGACUAACUACUGCGAAAGCAUUCGCCAAGGAUGUUUUCAUUAAUCAGGGAACGAAAGUUAGGGGAUCGAAGACGAUCAGAUACCGUCGUAGUCUUAACCAUAAACUAUGCCGACUAGGGAUCGGACGGGCUUCUAUGAUGACCCGUUCGGCACCUUACGAGAAAUCAAAGUUUUUGGGUUCUGGGGGGAGUAUGGUCGCAAGGC
Molecule: ribosomal RNA, 718 nt
Filed under: uncultured fungus
Lineage: Eukaryota; Fungi
Description: SSU rRNA
Rfam family: Eukaryotic small subunit ribosomal RNA
Source: RNAcentral